Molecule: ribosomal RNA, 532 nt
Filed under: Enterobacter kobei
Lineage: Bacteria; Pseudomonadati; Pseudomonadota; Gammaproteobacteria; Enterobacterales; Enterobacteriaceae
Description: bacterial SSU rRNA
Rfam family: Bacterial small subunit ribosomal RNA
Source: RNAcentral
CCAGAGAUGGAUUGGUGCCUUCGGGAACUCUGAGACAGGUGCUGCAUGGCUGUCGUCAGCUCGUGUUGUGAAAUGUUGGGUUAAGUCCCGCAACGAGCGCAACCCUUAUCCUUUGUUGCCAGCGGUCCGGCCGGGAACUCAAAGGAGACUGCCAGUGAUAAACUGGAGGAAGGUGGGGAUGACGUCAAGUCAUCAUGGCCCUUACGAGUAGGGCUACACACGUGCUACAAUGGCGCAUACAAAGAGAAGCGACCUCGCGAGAGCAAGCGGACCUCAUAAAGUGCGUCGUAGUCCGGAUUGGAGUCUGCAACUCGACUCCAUGAAGUCGGAAUCGCUAGUAAUCGUAGAUCAGAAUGCUACGGUGAAUACGUUCCCGGGCCUUGUACACACCGCCCGUCACACCAUGGGAGUGGGUUGCAAAAGAAGUAGGUAGCUUAACCUUCGGGAGGGCGCUUACCACUUUGUGAUUCAUGACUGGGGUGAAGUCGUAACAAGGUAACCGUAGGGGAACCUGCGGUUGGAUCACCUCCUU